GGCUUUCCGGCUGGGGAAAAAGCCAUGAGGUCGAUCAGUAAUCAGGGUAAAAUCUAAUGAACUAGUCCCACUGUUGGAACUCUAUCCUUUGGUGGAACAGAUUUCUCAUUCAUAUGAACAAUGUUCGGUCCAUAAGAUCCAGAAGCAGAUAGUGAAAACCAACAUUACACUGUUUACCGAACCCUUGGUGGAGCAGUAGGCUGCAGCUGAGUAACAAUGCACAGGAAUUACAAUACAACAAGUGCUAUCAUGCUUCAAAUUUCAAAAAUAAUGAUGCUUCCUCCCCCCCUCAAUCCUCACAAAAACCCUAGAGCCUUUCACGGAACCCUACGCUUCCAUAGAGGCCCUGCUGAGAAAGGCUGUUGUGGACAUGAAUAGUUGGGCAAGCAUUUAGAUCACCCUUUAAAAAAAAAAUUCCCAGAAAAUAAUGAAGUAUUUUAGUGGAAUAGAAGUGGUGACCGCAACAAGUCCGGUUCAAACAACUCUCCUUGAAAAACUAGAGCAGAGCAGUCUGACCAAAGAAUUAAAGCAGUGGCUCCAGAUGAUUAGAAUGGUAUUCUAUCGCCUUUGUAUCUGGUUUGCUACUAGACCCCAAAUCAUCUCUUGCAUAUAGGUAAUUGUUGUAUUUGCUUAGAAACAUUUUUGUCCUUCCUUCAAUUAUAAAAACCAUUUUCUCAAAUGAUUUACAAAUAAAAC
Long non-coding RNA from Ahaetulla prasina, 696 nucleotides. RefSeq lists it as uncharacterized. The record is from RefSeq and is a predicted model, not a curated record. The transcript is spliced from 3 exons. NCBI's taxonomy places the organism in Eukaryota, Metazoa, Chordata, Lepidosauria, Squamata, Colubridae.